RNAcentral lists this ribosomal RNA (107 nucleotides) under Macrococcoides caseolyticum. RNAcentral's name for it is "Macrococcus caseolyticus partial 16S ribosomal RNA". It matches the Rfam family "Bacterial small subunit ribosomal RNA", at positions 1435 to 1533 of the family's 1533-position model. The record is from RNAcentral. Lineage: Bacteria; Bacillati; Bacillota; Bacilli; Caryophanales; Staphylococcaceae.
GUAACCUUUUAGGAGCUAGCCGUCGAAGGUGGGACAGAUGAUUGGGGUGAAGUCGUAACAAGGUAGCCGUAUCGGAAGGUGCGGCUGGAUCACCUCCUUUCUAAGGA